GACGAACGCUGGCGGCGUGCUUAACACAUGCAAGUCGAACGGAAAGGCCCUGCUUUUGUGGGUGCUCGAGUGGCGAACGGGUGAGUAACACGUGAGUAACCUGCCCUUGACUUUGGGAUAACUUCAGGAAACUGGGGCUAAUACCGGAUAGGAGCUCCUGCUGCAUGGUGGGGGUUGGAAAGUUUCGGCGGUUGGGGAUGGACUCGCGGCUUAUCAGCUUGUUGGUGGGGUAGUGGCUUACCAAGGCUUUGACGGGUAGCCGGCCUGAGAGGGUGACCGGUCACAUUGGGACUGAGAUACGGCCCAGACUCCUACGGGAGGCAGCAGUGGGGAAUAUUGCACAAUGGGCGGAAGCCUGAUGCAGCAACGCCGCGUGCGGGAUGACGGCCUUCGGGUUGUAAACCGCUUUCGCCUGUGACGAAGCGUGAGUGACGGUAAUGGGUAAAGAAGCACCGGCUAACUACGUG
RNAcentral lists this ribosomal RNA (467 nucleotides) under uncultured bacterium. Its description in RNAcentral is "partial 16S ribosomal RNA". It matches the Rfam family "Bacterial small subunit ribosomal RNA", at positions 28 to 507 of the family's 1533-position model. The record is from RNAcentral.